GGAUUUCUCUUCCGAGGAGCAAAGAAGUGACUUCCAGGAGGGAGCUGUUGUAACCUGCUACUCUAAAGGAAGAGAUACUGAUGAUGUCCAGGAACUGACAGCUUACUUGCACAACCUACAGAAGUCAGAGAGAGAUGAUGUGGUAAUCUCAAAGGCAAGAAGUACUCCUAACAGAAUGAGAUAAAUUUUGCUUUUACUGGCUUUGAGAAGGAUUUUCUGCAAAUGCAUGCAUAUCCUAUGGAUAGCAAUGAGUAGUAUGCAUGUUAGUAGUUGCUGAUCUCUAUGAGGAUCUUCACUUAUUCCAUCACUGCUAAGUUUCUCAACACUCCUAAAUAAAAGCCAUUACCCUGAAGUCCAUGUUAACAGUGUGCACCACAUCGCACCUAUGUACGUACUUACUGGCACGCUUAAAGAACUCUGUAAUUGUGCAGAAG
This is a non-coding RNA of Pantherophis guttatus, 434 nucleotides long. NCBI's taxonomy places the organism in Eukaryota, Metazoa, Chordata, Lepidosauria, Squamata, Colubridae. The record is from RefSeq and is a predicted model, not a curated record.